UACUAGAGUAGCACUCGCAUAUCAAUAAGCGGAGGAAAAGAAACUAACUAGGAUUCCCUUAGUAACGGCGAGUGAAGCGGGAAGAGCUCAAAUUUGAAAUCUUCAAGGUCUUACCUUGACGAAUUGUAGUUUAAAGAAGUGUUUUCUGUUGGAGUUUUGGUAAAAGUUCUUUGGAAUAGGACAUCAUAGAGGGUGAGAAUCCCGUAUUUGACCAUUAUUUCCAACUUUGUGAUACACUUUCAAAGAGUCGGAUUGUUUGAGAAUGCAGUCCAAAAUGGGUGGUAAAUUUCAUCUAAAGCUAAAUAUUGGCGAGAGACCGAUAGCGAACAAGUACCGUGAGGGAAAGAUGAAAAGAACUUUGAAAAGAGAGUUAAACAGUACGUGAAAUUGUCAAAAGGGAAGCGUUUGACACCAGUGUUGUUAUCUCGAAAAUCAAUUCAAUAAUUAUGGAUUUUGUAAGUUAGUAUUGACUUUAUCAGCUUGCUGCACUUUUUUCUUAUCUUUUUUAAUGCACUUUUCGUUUAACAAGUCAACAUCAAUUUCUUUUGUUGUAAAAGGGUCAUUGGAAGGUGGCUUUCUUUUCGGAGAAAGUGUUUAUAGCCUUUGGCCUCUGCAAUCGGAGAGAUUGAGGUCUGCAGCGUAGAUCCUUCGGGGUUAGAUACAUUUGUGCUAAGCUAUAGCCUUUCAUAGACAACUUGUUGACUAUGAUCAGUCAUGUAGCUUACUCGCUUAUGCUAUUUUACCUACGCUUAGGAUGUUGAUAGUCACAGCGUGUAC
RNAcentral lists this ribosomal RNA (777 nucleotides) under uncultured Neocallimastigales. Its description in RNAcentral is "partial large subunit ribosomal RNA". It matches the Rfam family "Eukaryotic large subunit ribosomal RNA", at positions 20 to 630 of the family's 3401-position model. Lineage: Eukaryota; Fungi; Neocallimastigomycota; Neocallimastigomycetes; Neocallimastigales. The record is from RNAcentral.